Molecule: ribosomal RNA, 433 nt
Filed under: uncultured bacterium
Lineage: Bacteria
Description: partial 16S ribosomal RNA
Rfam family: Bacterial small subunit ribosomal RNA
Source: RNAcentral
AACGAACGCUGGCGGCAUGCCUAACACAUGCAAGUCGAACGAGACCUUCGGGUCUAGUGGCGCACUGGUGCGUAACGCGUGGGAACCUGCCCUUAGGUUCGGCAUAACUCCCCGAAUGAGGUGCUAAUACCGGCUAAUGUCUUCGGACCAAAGAUUUAUCGCCUUUGGAUGGGCCUGCGUUGGAUUAGCUAGUUGGUAGGGUAAAAGCCUACCAAGGCGACGAUCCAUAGCUGGUCUGAGAGGAUGAUCAGCCACACUGGGACUGAGACACGGCCCAGACUCCUACGGGAAGGAGCAGUGGGGAAUAUUGGAAAAGGGGCGAAAGCAUGAUGCAGCAAUGCCGCGUGAGUGAUGAAGGCCGUAGGGUUGUAAAGCUCUUUUACCCGGGAUGAUAAUGACAGUACCGGGAGAAUAAGCUCCGGCUAACUCCGUG